CGAGCUGCAACACGGAAAAUAGGGUGAUGCUGCUUAACUACAGAAACUGUUCCUGAAGUAGCUAACAAAACUAUCGCGGUGUGACGUCAGACGCCGACAAUUGGUCUUGUGAAGCAACUCGGAACAAAGAAAUACGGCAUGGAGAUUCAAGAUGGUGACCUGGUCCAUUUUAAGGACUUGUCCAGAAUGGAACAAACCUCUGCUUCCUGUCUGGAGACCUGGUCAGACACGCCCAGCUUCAAAGACCUCAGACUGUGAAAGGUUGAUCUUCAUGAAGCGCUUCAAACAGGAAUGAACGGAGCCAAAGGGUGGUGCUGUGUCCAGUUCUUAUAAUGCAUCCAUGACAAAACCUCACUCGGUCACAAGU
Solea senegalensis (Senegalese sole) is the source of this 367-nucleotide long non-coding RNA. RefSeq lists it as uncharacterized. The record is from RefSeq and is a predicted model, not a curated record. The transcript is spliced from 4 exons. Lineage: Eukaryota; Metazoa; Chordata; Actinopteri; Pleuronectiformes; Soleidae.